CAGUCUCGCUCGAGCAUUCGUGGCAGGUGGAAAUUGUGUUUACCCGCGUUAACACGCUAAGGGCGCAGCGAUACCGCGUAUCCACAGGUUAUCGGCAAUUUGUGUGUUGCGACGCAGUGAAUGAACCCGAUCCGUUUACGUAAACAAGAAGACCGGACGGGCAAGUGGUGACAACCCGUCUCGCUCUCACCGCCAGUUGUCAAAAUUGUAAACUCCAUUCGGACAAGAAUUUGCAAAAAUAUCACCUCGGCUCGCUGGUGUUACUACGAUUCAUACAAUAAUUAUUUUUAUCGUUGAAGAAAAAAAAAAAUAAAUAAACAAAUUAUCAUCCCCUAAUUUCGGCGGCGGACUUCUUGCCGAGUUUUUGGGGAGUUUGUCGGAAUGCAACGACGCUUUGAUGUGAAUCGGUAAAAAAGCCAAGAUACCUCGCACCUCGACGCCGGAAGUUCGGGGUAUAGGGGGUAAAUAUUCAUGGGCAGACCAUCGGCCUCGGAACCAGAGGACCUCGUCGCUGCUUAUGGCAACCUCGGCGUUACCCAUUUACCAUCAGGCCGGCGUCCCGGAGGCCCGGCGAUCACCGGGUGUCGUUAUUCCUCCAAUAACCGCCUGCCCGCCGAGCAGUUUUCCGGAUAAAUUUCAGGACUUUUUCACCGCUCUGACGGAGGAUGCGGACGACAUGCCGAGCUUGCUCGAAGACAAACUCAUCCCCAGGAAAACAGAGCCGAUUAACCCCGAUUUCCGCCCACGCCUCUGGAGCAAACGAACUUUCCAACGGCGCAGCAGCGAGAUCGAGGUACGUGCUCAUCACGCUUCUUUCACCGCGGGCCAGGGCCAAAGCUCCUCCGUAGACGGGCCCAAGUCACCAAAUCCUUCCAGGAGGCGAAGCUCCAGCAUCGCCGUCGCCAGACCGACGCCAGAUCUGCACAGGUUUCUUCAGGCAGAAGCUGGCCCAUGGGGACACUUGUCUCCGUCUCCUAGAAGUCCAACCAGAACUGCUGCGAUUAGUCCCGGCGGACUUUCGUCAACGUCACAUCUGAGUCCCGGAGCAAGUCCCGGAGGACCAAGUCCAACAAGUCCUGCCGGUCCGGCGUCUGCGGGUCGUGGACCAUCACAUCGACAAUACCGUUGCAGGACGAGCAGCAUGCCAGCAGUCCCACGUCACAGACCAAUGCUCGCCGAGAUGAAACGUAGCGGGAUAAACGGCGCCGAAGAGGCCGAGGGUGAAGACGGGGUCGAAUACUACAGACUUCGCUCGUUCUCCAUAACAGCGAACGGCGUUUUCAACUUGGGCGACUCGCUGAGAAGUCGACGUAGUAAAAGUAUCAAUAGCGUAACAUCUUCGGGAACAAGUUGCAGCAGCUCUCGCGAUGCCAGACACCUGAGCCUGGCAUCGCAGCUGUCGGGAACAGAAGGUGAGGAAGACGACAGCAACGGACGCGUCGCUACUUACAAGGUCGGGAUGCUGGGUGCUUCUGGUGUCGGAAAAACGGCUUUAACAGCCCAGUUCACAACCAGCGAGUACAUCUGCGCGUACGACGCUUCGCUAGACGAGGAAUACGGCCAGAAGACGGUGUCCGUUAUGGUCGACGGUCAAGAGACGGAGCUGGAAAUCAUCGACCAUCCAGCCUCGGAAAUGUCGGUCGAGUCCUUUUGCUCAACCUACAACCCGGACGUUUACGUGGUUGUCUACUCAGUCGUCGAUAGAAGAAGCCUGAAAAUGGCGGAGGAGACCCUGCUCUAUCUUUGGAAAAGUGACUACAUGGCGUCGCAUGGCGUUAUCCUCGUUGGGAAUAAAGUUGACCUGGAAAGAAAGCGAGAGGUCCCAUUAGUCGUUGGACGUCGGCUGGCAAACAGUUGCGGAUGCAAGUUCAUCGAGACAUCGUCCGGCUUGGCCCACCACGUAGAUGAGUUGCUCGUCGGAAUUCUUGCUCAAGUCAAGCUCAAUCCUCAGCGAGAUCGAGAUCAAGCAACUAGGAGAAAAAGGAGUAAACACCGCCGGCGUAUGCUCAAGCAUUUACUCGGUAUCAAGAGAAAAACUAAGAGCUGCGAAAAUCUCUUCAUAUUAUAAUUUCGCGAGAAAGCGUUCAGCGAUGAGUAUGAAUGAGAAGAAAUUUUGUACGAUGAUCGGUGUGAUUUUUAUUGAUUCGAAUGAUAAUUUUUACUGCUUUAGAUCUUCGGGUUUUCUUAGCUUAGGAAUCCAAUUAUACAGUCUCUGUCUGUCAUGAAAUUUAAGAUUAUGUAUACUUUUUAUUAUCGAAUUAUUUUCGGAUAAGGCCAUGGCCGAAUAGAGCUAAGUGUAAGUUAACAAAAUAUGUUUACAUUGAUUAGGUUAUCUUUAGUGUUAUUUAAUAAAUUAAUAAUAAAUUACAGUUGAGCCGGUACGGGCAAUGGUUAUUAUCGUAGGUGAACGUCAUACCUGAAGAACAUGUAACUCCGAUUUCUUCAACCCACGUUAUUUCGAAGACGACGAAAACCAGCGUGUACCUGCAUUACGAAAAAUGAGAUUUUAAGGUACGACAGGUGCCGACCAGCAGUUACUAUUUUAAGAUGUUCUUAUUGUUGAGCGAAUGGGGCGAUAAUUUUUAAAACAAGACAAUGCAGUUUUCAAAUAUAAAUGUAAUAAGUGAUAAGGUGAGUGAAAUUUAUUCAUAAUGAAUGUAAUGAUGUGGUAAUUAGAUUUAACUUUCAUCUAAAAGGGAACACCGUAAUAAUAAUCAAUAAUUUAAUGUUUAAGAAAAAUAUUUGACGUUUCAAUAAUGUGGCACUGUAAAUACGUACAUUGUAUGUUGUAUUAUACAUAUAUGUAUAUUAUAUUAUUCUAUAAAAUAAUUAAUAUACAUUUCAUUUGAUAACUCGAAUGUGUUAUGCAUAAGUAUAUUAGCACGUUCUGACCCACGGGGUUCAGUGUUUUGGCAAUGCUAGGAAUUGUCCAAAAUAACAAGGCUAUUGGUUUGCAUGAAGGUUGGAGAACAAGGACGCGAGGGAGAAGUAUUUCUACCUAAUUUUACCUAAUUAUCAAUGAGAAUAUCUCCGUUUUUUAUCACAAUUAUCUUUCUUCUAAAACUACUAGCCAGAUGAUUGUUGGUGACGAGGUGAAAUUAUUUUUUUGAAGUUUCAUGUCUUUCCACAUAUUUUAGUCUAGAAAAACAUUUAUUUCUAAACAUGAGAAGAUAUCGUAAAACAUUCGUUUCGCCUAGAUUUAAUCGGAUUGAAGAAUGAUGGUCGACUAAUGAUCUCUCUUGAUAGUAUUCGGAGGAAAAAUUACAGCAAAUUCAGAAAUUAUAUCGUGCUGUUGCUGUGUGUAAUUUGAUUAACUCCUCCAAAGUCUUAACAAAAUUCAACGAAAGCUAGCAGCAUAUAAACAUUGACAUUGAACAACAUCCAGUUUUGAUUGAUUUAAUUUUUACGAUCCCAAGCAUCACAGAUGCUCAUCAUUUCAAUACAUGAAUAGGGCUGUCAACUGAUGAUUCGAGAAUGAAGACACAUUCUAUGACCAGAAUAAAUUCGAACUUUCGCUUACACGCGUAUGGCUAGAACAAAAGAAUAAAGUAGGACCAAUAGCUUAGCUGCACUUGAAGCGAUAAGCUAGACGUUUGUAAGAUUUGAGUAUGCUUCAUUAUGUUAUGAAUAUGUGCAAUUCAUGUAUGACGAACGCAGCAAGUAUGAAUGAUACCUUCAUGUUGAACUUCAACUGAAGAAUAUUGUGUACUUCUUGAAUAAAUCAGUCGUGUUAUAAAAGUUAUGAAGAUUUCCCAGAUAAAAUUUUUAAGAAUUUCAACAAAGCAUGUGAUGUUGUGUAUGCUUAACUUCUGUAAAUAUUAGUAUGUAGCUAAAUUACAUUAAGAUUUAUAUACUAACGCAUGGUUCUAUAAUAAAACCGAUAUUUACGAGGUAUUACGAGCCUUUUGACUUACGUAUCAGAUUGUCAAAUGUGAGUACUUUAACGUAUGUGGACCACUAUAGUUAACAGAAACUCUUUUAAAUGCACCAAAAUUCAUAAAUAGACCAUGCAACAUUGCAAUCGAUUCUGAUACAUUAUUCUCGUGCAUCUAUUGCACGUAACUUUAUCACGAAUGAAAAAAUAUUACCAUAGUCUAGGACGAAUCAAAACUUGAGAGAUUACUUGAAGAAAAAAAAAACAUGUUAUGCGUGUGAGGGAUUCUUAUAUGAGAAUAAG
Neodiprion fabricii is the source of this 4177-nucleotide RNA transcript. It is a transcript of the gene named GTP-binding protein REM 2-like, with no coding region annotated. The transcript has 9 exons. The record is from RefSeq and is a predicted model, not a curated record. Lineage: Eukaryota; Metazoa; Arthropoda; Insecta; Hymenoptera; Diprionidae.